CAGCCGCCGCGGUAAUACGAAGGGGGCUAGCGUUGUUCGGAAUCACUGGGCGUAAAGCGCACGUAGGCGGAUUUUUAAGUCAGGGGUGAAAUCCCGAGGCUCAACCUCGGAACUGCCUUUGAUACUGGAGAUCUUGAGUUCGGAAGAGGUUGGUGGAACAGCUAGUGUAGAGGUGAAAUUCGUAGAUAUUAGCUAGAACACCAGUGGCGAAGGCGGCCAACUGGUCCGACACUGACGCUGAGGUGCGAAAGCGUGGGGAGCAAACAGGAUUAGAUACCCCAGUAGUCCCUGUCUCUUAUAC
This 301-nucleotide ribosomal RNA is filed under the name uncultured bacterium. Its description in RNAcentral is "partial 16S ribosomal RNA". It matches the Rfam family "Bacterial small subunit ribosomal RNA", at positions 509 to 807 of the family's 1533-position model. The record is from RNAcentral.